Molecule: long non-coding RNA, 548 nt
Organism: Motacilla alba alba
Lineage: Eukaryota; Metazoa; Chordata; Aves; Passeriformes; Motacillidae
Exons: 5
Source: RefSeq, a predicted model, not a curated record
GAUGUUUCCACCUGUUGAGUUAUCCUGCAGCCCUUUGACGUAUAUCCUAACUUUCUUUCAGGUGCUGAUGCAUUAUAUCCUUGGCAGAGCAACCCAUCCCGGGCUCGUGGGUUCCCCUGAGCAGGAAGUCAAGGCAGAUGCAGCAGUCGAGGCUGAGUGGGCAAGGCAAUUGACUCGGCGUAUGUCCAGCCCCCGUCACACACCGGCCAAUGCACUGGGUUUCCUGCACAUGUGGGCCUUGUGGAAAUAUUACAGGACUCUGCGAUGAAGCCUUUAAAUUUUCUAUUUCACCAUUCUAUCUGGGUAGCCAUCAGGACCGGCCAAGGAGUUGUGGCAGACCCUGCGACAAUGGCGUCAGCCUCUGAGCACGGCCAAAGCGUGUGGCCCGAGGACCUUUGGCAUUCUUAAGAAUGUGAGCAAGAUACAACAGCCUGGUGCCACCAGGGACUGCUCAGAUGGCGAGGCUGCUUUCUUUUGCACCUGACACAGAUUGGCAUGCCCACCUGUCUGAGAGAUGAGUAGAGGGCUGCGACCCGCAGAGGGGAUGA